RNAcentral lists this long non-coding RNA (3728 nucleotides) under Homo sapiens (human). Its description in RNAcentral is "HSALNT0319414". Lineage: Eukaryota; Metazoa; Chordata; Mammalia; Primates; Hominidae. The record is from RNAcentral.
CCUUCAGCUUUUCCAAGUCCUGAGUCAGACACGUGUGCAACUCUGGGGUGAAAGACACCAGCUUCUUCUGCAGAUUACCUGUAUCAUUUGGGUUUGAAGCAUAUUCUGAUGUGUCUUUGUGAAUACCAGUUUAUUCUCAAGGAUUUUAGGUUGUCUUUUCUUUUCUUUUUUUUUUUUUUCUAUUUCGUUUAGAGCUUUUCUUCCUGAUGGCUUAUCUACCGAUCAAAGCAACUUCUACCUCACCAGCAGAUACAGAGGCAACUUCUUCCAUAGAUUUCUUCACCAGUUUUCCUUAGCUGUCUCCUUGGAACAUUUGAAAUCCUCUGGUUCUUUGGCACCCAAAUAUGAAGGUCAUUUCAUCAAAGGCCUAAAAUUUUCAUAGAGAGGAUUUGAGAAAGGUGAUCUCAAUAAAAUACAAAAAAAAAAAGGAAGAAAAGCUACAGUAAAAGAAAUAUUGCUACUUAUAUAUGCAAACGAAGACUGAGGACAACUAUUAUCAGCUUUCUACUCUUAAGAAUUAUUUAAGUUGCUACUCCUACUUCUACAUUUGGACAUUGGUUUACCAUGCCAUUUUUCCUUAUAUAUAUUUAAAAAAUCUCUUAAAAAUUAAAAUGGUAGUAUGCAUGUUUUCAGGCCAAAUAUAUAUUUCCAAACUGUUCUAAAUUUGUUACUACUGUGUUUUUACUCCUGAGUAAUCAAUAACAUUGAGUAAUAAAGACAGAAUUAUUUAUGUAUAAAUAAAAAUUCUCAUGAGAAUUUUUGUCUAUUUUUCCUUUUCUGAGUUGAAAAGCAGCCAUUUUCAACAUAGCUAAUUGUUGCUACAGUAUCAUUUUAAAUUAAUGUGGUACAGUGUAUGCUGAAAUAGCAGUGGAAAAAUAUUUAAGUUUUAACAAUGCUCUACUCAGGUAAAUAUCCCUGCAGGAAUCAAAAUUAAUAAAUAUUAUCUUCAGUAUACAUAAUACAAUAUAAUAUCUUUAAUAGGAGUUGCCAUUUUACUGAAUAUCUUCCAUUUGAUGUUUGUGAAAAGUUUGUUCAUUGACAUAGCUCAAUAAUAUUCCAUUUUACAAAUAUACCACAAUUAAUUAACCUAUCCUUCUGUAGAUAGACAUAUGGGUUUCUUUCCUUAUUAUACAUCAUAUUAAACUUUUAUAUUAUGAACAGUUCAUUGAAUCUAUUGAUCCAUUUGUGGAGAAUUUAUAUCUUUAUGAUAUUGAUUUUUCUUCCUAGAGGUAUAAUAUGCCUUUCCAUUUAUUUGAAUCAUUUUUAAUGUUUUAAAAUUUAGAUACAUUUAAUUAAUGUGUGUGUAUCUGUAUGUAAGCUUACUGCAAUGCUAAACAGGUAAAUAUUCAGAACACUCUGUAAAAAAAAAAAAAAGUUGAACUUCCACCUUAAUUACUGACUUUUUUUUAAUUAAUUGUAAGCAGAAAUGGGAUACUGUUUUCUCUGCCACAUUUCUGUCACCUGUGGUCAUAAUCCCUCGAGCUGUAUAAGGGAAGUUGUCUGUUCAAAUCAUGCAGUGUUCUUAUGUCACAAACCAAAACCUGAGUCUAUUAUGCUGAGCUAAUCUGCUUUGACCUGGGUAAUUUCCAUCCUGGGUUGAUCUGAUCUGCCAGGAGGUUUGGCCGUCAGAUUUUGGUGACUUCUGCUCCUCAGAGAAUUCUCAGAAUCCCAAAUUGCACCCCAUCUCACUAAGAGUGUGGAGAGGAAAAGACAGAAGGAUAGAAAAAGAGAAGGAGGAGGAAAAGGAAGUAUCUAUCUACAUGUUUAUAUCUAUACCUUUAUUUAUACUCACAGUAAAGGACAUUUGUCAGAAUAGCCCCCAAACACUAUUGCCGCACCAACAUCUAUUAAAAUAUAAACCAUCUUUAAUAAAUACUGAGCUGUGUAAAUAUUUAUUUGCAUGCAAAAGAAAAGCUCUUUAGUAUUCUUAAGCCAGACUGAGCAGUCAACAGAUGAUUUUGAUAAAUGUCUGUUCAUUACCUGAACAUUUCCAUUGCAAUAUAAAACAAAGAUUUCAUCUACAUUUUAUUUUUGCUCCAUGAAUGGUUCCACACUUUCUAAUCAGUGUUAUUUUUAAGAUUAAAUUUGGAUAGUAAUGUAAAUAUGGGAGGGGAAUGGGUGUCUAAGAGGAUUUUCUGGUUCAUAGUCAUUAUAAUAGUCACAAUAUACAAGAUAAUUUGUAAGUCUAGGCCCCCUUUUGCUCAGGCAGUCUAAUUCUUUAUGUCCAAGAAUUUUGUCAAAGUAAUGUUCUUCAUGCUAAUAAAUAUAAUAAAAACAUACCCUUUUCUGGUAGUUGUCUUCUUUUAAUAUUAAUAUGUCAUUUUUCUUCAUGAUUCUAAAAACAAAUAUGAACUGCUUUGUAAAUAUUGGUCAAUGAAUACUUCAUGACACUCCCUUUUGAAAGGUGUAUGACUUGACAGCCGCUAUUUAGACAUUUCAUUUAUGUCAUGGGUUUUGUUUUCUAUUUUUGCUGUUGCUGUUGUUUUAAAUCAGGGCUUGAUAUUGAUGGGGCAAGAUUAGGAAGUAAAGAACCACAUAGUUCUCUCUCCUUCAUCUCUUCCUGUGUUAAUAAAUGGUUCCAUGAUCUAAUAAAAGAGCAAACACAGGAAACAAUAAGGGGAAUCAAAAAGUGAAAAUAAAACAAACAAAUCUAGAAACAAGCAAACUUUAUCUUGAGUUUUGUGGACUUCCUGCAGAGAUUUCUCAAUUCCUGUUUCUACUCCAAAUGCAUUCAUGUGACUAGCAUGCUCAGUGAAUUGGGCAUCUUUUGCUCUUUAAAAUUACUUAUUUAAGAAAAAUUUAUGUAUACUCUGAUCCUCUUAACUCUGUUGCAUUUGCAGGUUCAGUAUGGCCUCUGCUGCUGAAAAGGCUGUGUGCAAUGUAAAAAGUGUGUUUAAUUCAACCUUUUAUUAAUUCAUCUAUAAUUUUGAAAUUCAGUUUUUUAUUUUAUUGACUAGUUAACAUCUGCCAAUCACCAUUAAACAUCGUACAAGUAUUAUUUUCUUCACUCUUUACAGAAACCUCAUUCUCAAUUUACAUGUUAUAAGUGACAUAGCUAAGGUGUAGAGAAGGUGUAUGCAUGCAAAAAUUCACACAAUUCAUAUCAGACGGAGCUAGGACAUAAAUUCUAGUUCCUUCAAACUUCUUAACAUACUGCCACCACAAAUUAAGUAUCUUAUUGGUAAUUUAUAAGGAACAGAAACUUAUUAACUUAACAGUUCUGGAGGCUGGAAAGUCCAAGGUCAAGGUAUCCCUAGGUUAGGGCCCAGUUUCUCUUUUCUCUGAUUCCAAGAUGGUGCCUUGCAUGUGGCAUCCUCUGGAGGGCAGGGGAAUGCUGGAUUCUCACAUGGCAGGAAGGCAGAGGGUCAAGAGAGAAAAACCAACCUGAAAAGUCCUUUUAUUAAUGCACUAAAUCCACUCAUGAGGGUGAAGUGCUUGUAGUCUAAUCACAUCUUAAAGACCUCACAUCUUAAUGUAGUUGCAAUGGCAAUUAAAUCUCAACAUGAACUUGGGAGGAGGCAUUCAAACUACAGCAAUCUGGCCUGACCACCCAAAACUUACAUCUUUCUCAAAUACAAAAUACAUUUAUUCCAUCCCAUUAGCCUCUAACGUCUUACAUUGUUCUGGCAUCAACUAAUAAGUCCGAAGUCCAGAGUCCUAUCUAAAUUAGAUAUCGGUGAGACUCAAAGCAUAAUUCACCCUGAGGGAAAUUCUCUCCAGUUAUGAGC